Chinchilla lanigera (long-tailed chinchilla) is the source of this 2926-nucleotide long non-coding RNA. The record is from Ensembl. Lineage: Eukaryota; Metazoa; Chordata; Mammalia; Rodentia; Chinchillidae.
CAGCUGUUGACUUAGUAUGUUUAAAUGAAUGAAAGAAUGAAGGUUGCUGUGGCUCGGGCCUUGAGUCCUGGUCCCCGGGGAGAUGCCAUGGGGAGGCGGUGGGAACACGAGUGCGUGGGGGCGUGGGGGUUUUCAUUUACAGGGACGCACCCCUGAAGGGGCAGUGGCACUCUGCUCUCCUCUCUUUUUACUUCCUGGCUCACUGUGAGGUGAGGGGUUUGGCUUUGCUCUGCUCUGCUGACAGGGUGUGCAGCCUCACCACCGGCCAAACACCAAUGGGGUGGUGAGUAGUGGGACCGGAACCUCCACAACUCCCUCUCCUCCCUAAGGCGAUCCCUUCAGGGGCUGGUCACAGCUGGGGAAAGCUGAUGGACACACAGGCCCGAUUCGCUGCAGGAACCCAGGCUCAGCACUCUCGGUUGGUACUAAGCUCCCCAGCGUGGCGGUCACGGAAGCCUCUCUUCUCCUCACCCUCUACUUUGAAAUAAACAAUGUGCGGUUGUCCAACAACGUGCCACAACUAUUUCCCUUUUAACUGAACAACAAAAAGAUGAGAAAAUCUCAAAUCAUCUGAUUUGGGAGCUGGAGCUCUCUUGCUGUUCCAGGAGGGGCCAGUCCAGCGCUGGAGGCCACCAGGGUGGCAGGGGGAGAGGGACAAGUGGGGACCCCACGGGCGGGCAACUUGGUGGCUCCUCCCUACUGACGGGUCAUCGGCCGUGGAUGACAGGAGUCAAACAAAGCACUCGUGAAAUUGCAGUGCCGCAGAGGGGGUGAGGACCAAGGAACCUCGAUCUGCUCUUCCUCUUACUUGAUUUUUAAAAGCAGAGAAAGAAAGAAAAAAAAGUAGGGGAAGAAAGCCACGCUCUCCCCAGCUCCCGGGCCGCUGACGUCCUUGGUCUUCGCACACCCGCUGCAGCAGCGCGUCAGGAAUGCGACCCACCGCCGCAGCCUGCUGUGAUGCCUGUGAGCCUAGUCGGAUGCGGCAGCUCUCACGAAUUUAACACAAGUGCUGCUGCUGCUGAAGCUGACCUUCCGAGCGUGAUUGGAUCGGAGCCUUGGGCUUCUGUGUCCUUCCUGUGUGUGAACAGUGGAGGAGGCGCCUGUGGAUCGCGCUGGACACACUGGGAACCAGCAGAGAGGAAAUGGAGACAGGGAGAACGGUGACAGUGGAGCAGGCUUCCCCGGAGGUUAAGGAGAGGCCAGAGGACAGAGGGACCAAGGUGGACCUGACUCUGGACAGUCCCUGGGCUCAGAGUUCUCUCUGCCACACAUUGGAGAUGUGUCAUCCACUGUCCUAGCCCACCACGAUGGCCACCCAGGUGCUGUCACUCAGUGUCACAGACACAGGCUCCCCGGAAGUGACCCUCCUGAUCCCCUAGGAGAAUUUAUGUCUUUCCUGGGCCACCAGCCUCCAAAGGAGUCACAGGCUCCCAGGACAGGGAAAGCGCUUAACAGAGCUGUGGACAACUGAGGAAUGAUCCGCCUUGCUCCUGGAAACCUCCCUCGAGUGGCACAGGCUUUGCGGCUCAACUCCUGUGUCUGGGGUCACCUUGAGCAGCAGUUUCUUGCCCCUCCCGUGUCACAGUUUUUAAAGCUGUUACUGCGCUGGGUAUGAUUGCUGAUAUUUUCUUAGAAAAUUACCUUUAUUCUUGCCUGUGUACAUAACGUCUUUCCUUAAUAAGUAGGUGUCAGUUUAUAACUCAGAGUCCAGAGCUCUUUCCAGAGUGACCUCUUCCCAGAGUUGCAGAGGCGAUCAGCGGUAAAGCCUGCAGUCUCCACCACACCCUCCUCACGAGCUGGGCUCUGCACCUUCCCUGACCCUGUCCUUGUUGCACAUAUCUGAAUUCUGGUCUCCACCCAGACCUCUCCCACCCCACGCAAGCAGGUGUGAUUACCCCACAAGCUUGAGAGUUGGGCAGGUGUCUUCAUAACCACUCGGCAAGUGGAGGUACUGUGUAGCUGUGCAAGAGUGACUUUCCAUGUUCACACCUGGUGAGCCAAGCGCGGGGUUGAAGGUCGGUGCUUGAGUUUGCUGGUUGUGUGGUUGUUGUUGUGUGUGUGUGUGUGUCACUGCUCAGGUAUUACAACUGUGGGUGACUGUAGCUUUGUGCCCACUCUCUCUUUGCCCAGUUCCCUCCCUUUUCCAGGUAGAGGACCUCAUACACUCAAGUGAAAUGCCCCAGACAGGAGCAGGCACAGGUCCAGUACCGUGACUUGGGGGGGUCACUUGUCAACUUACUCAUCCUUUUGAAUGCCUUUAUUUUUGCAUAGAAAUAUACUGUACUGUAUUUUAUUUCUUCUAUGGAUUUAACUUUUGAUUUUGAUAUUUUAACCUGUUGUGGACUCAGAUAGACCAAAAACUCCAAAUGAUCGAAGUGCACAUUUUGAACGUUUCCCUUUCAUUCCUGUCCCCUCUCCCCCUGUUCUAAGCAAACUUGACUAACAUUUGAGUUUCCAUGCAGGGGUUUUCUCUGCAUAGAGAAGGAAAUAUGAGCAUUUGUGCGUCUGACUCAUAAACUUCUGCAUGCACAGAAGCAGCUCCAUGCAUGGCUCCAUGACUGUAUUUUCUUUCUCAAUACUAAUCUUGAAGUUGUUUCCAUAUCCACACACGCAGAAGUUUCUCACAUUUUUCUUUUCAUAAUUUUACAACUACAUCAUGUACCACAGUAUGACCAGACUGUAAUUUAACCAGCGCCCUCAUGAUCAAUAAGGGGGCUAUUUCCAAUUUUGUUCUACAACAAACAGGGAUCAGAUGGCUUUGGAUUCACAUCAAGUUGCAGAACUUAUCCGUAAGACAAAUUGAGUAAGUGCCAAUAUUCAAUGCACACACACUUACUUCUAAUUUUAACAGAUACCAUUAGCCGAAUUACUUUGCAUAAGACCGUACUGACUCACACUCCUGCCAGCAGUCAAAGGGGUGCAGGAC